This 710-nucleotide ribosomal RNA is filed under the name uncultured bacterium. RNAcentral describes it as "bacterial SSU rRNA". It matches the Rfam family "Bacterial small subunit ribosomal RNA", at positions 159 to 894 of the family's 1533-position model. The record is from RNAcentral.
CAGGGUAAUUCCCGAUGAUGUCGCAAGACCAAAGCUCCGGCGUCCCUGGAGGAGCCCAUAUGAUAUUAGCUAGUUGGUGGGGUAACGGCCCACCAAGGCGAAGAUGUCUAGCGGGUGUGAGAGCACGACCCGCGCCACUGGCACUGAGACACUGGCCAGACACCUACGGGUGGCUGCAGUCGAGGAUCUUCGGCAAUGGGCGCAAGCCUGACCGAGCGAGGCCGCGUGGGCGAUGAAGGCCUUCGGGUUGUAAAGCCCUGUCGAGGGGGAGAAAAGCCGAAAGGUGUGAUCUAUCCCUGGAGGAAGCACGGGCUAAGUUCGUGCCAGCAGCCGCGGUAAGACGAACCGUGCGAACGUUGUUCGGAAUCACUGGGCUUAAAGGGCGCGUAGGCGGGCUAUCAAGUCCGGGGUGAAAUCCUCCAGCUUAACUGGAGAACGGCCUCGGAUACUGAUGGUCUCGAGGAGGAUAGGGGCACACGGAACUGUGGGUGGAGCGGUGAAAUGCGUUGAUAUCCAUAGGAACUCCGGUGGCGAAAGCGGUGUGCUGGAUCCUUUCUGACGCUGAGGCGCGAAAGCCAGGGGAGCAAACGGGAUUAGAUACCCCGGUAGUCCUGGCCCUAAACGUUGGGUACUAGGUAGUAGACUAGACAUGGGUUUACUUCCGAAGCAAAAGUGCUAAGUACCCCGCCUGGGGAGUAUGGUCGCAAGGC